GUGUCAGCAGCCGCGGUAAUACAGAGGGUGCAAGCGUUGUUCGGAAUCACUGGGCGUAAAGCGCGCGCAGGCGGGCUGACAAGUGGGGAGUGAAAUUCCGGGGCUCAACUCCGGACCUGCUUUCCAAACUGUCAACCUGGGGACCGGUAGAGGCUGGUAGAAUUCCCGGUGUAGCGGUGGAAUGCGUAGAGAUCGGGAAGAAUACCCGUGGCGAAGGCGGCCAGCUGGGCCGGAUCCGACGCUGAGGCGCGAAAGCGUGGGGAGCAAACAGGAUUAGAUACCCUGGUAGUCCACGCCGUAAACGAUGGGCACUAGGCGCUGGGGGGAGCGACCCCGUCGGUGCCGUAGCUAACGCGAUAAGUGCCCCGCCUGGGGAGUACGGCCGCAAGGCUGAA
RNAcentral lists this ribosomal RNA (395 nucleotides) under uncultured bacterium. Its description in RNAcentral is "bacterial SSU rRNA". It matches the Rfam family "Bacterial small subunit ribosomal RNA", at positions 505 to 898 of the family's 1533-position model. The record is from RNAcentral.